GUCCUCUUGGUUUGUUUAGGAGGUCAGACCUGCCCAGUGAAUUUUUCAACGGCCGCGGUAUAUUGACCGUGCAAAGGUAGCAUAAUCAUUAGUCUUUUAAUAGAAGGCUGGAAUGAAAGGUUAAACGAAAAACUAACUGUCUCAUUUAUAUAUCUAGAAUUUAUCUUUUAAGUUAAAAGACUUAAAUUUUGUUGGAGGACGAGAAGACCCUAUAGAGCUUUACAUUUUUGUUUAUUAAUUUUUAAAGUUUAUAAUUAAUUUUAUUUUAUAAAUGUGUUUUGUUGGGGUGACAAGAAAAUAUGUUUAACUUUUAUUAAUUUAUUUACACUAAUUUGUGGUAAAUGGAUCCAAAAUUUUUGAUCAUUAGAUUAAGUUACCUUAGGGAUAACAGCGUAAUCUUCCUUCAGAGCUCAAAUUUACAGGAAGGCUUGCGACCUCGAUGUUGGAUUAAGAUUAUAAUUAAGUGCAGCAGCUUAAUUUAUAGGUCUGUUCGACCUUUAAAUUCUUACAUGAUCUGAGUUCAGACCGG
RNAcentral lists this ribosomal RNA (529 nucleotides) under Agriocnemis forcipata. Its description in RNAcentral is "partial 16S ribosomal RNA". It matches the Rfam family "Archaeal large subunit ribosomal RNA", at positions 1921 to 2688 of the family's 2987-position model. Lineage: Eukaryota; Metazoa; Arthropoda; Insecta; Odonata; Coenagrionidae. The record is from RNAcentral.